Molecule: transfer RNA, 75 nt
Filed under: Hyphomicrobium sp.
Lineage: Bacteria; Pseudomonadati; Pseudomonadota; Alphaproteobacteria; Hyphomicrobiales; Hyphomicrobiaceae
Also listed under: 1 other name
Description: tRNA-Lys
Rfam family: tRNA
About the family: Transfer RNA (tRNA) molecules are approximately 80 nucleotides in length. Their secondary structure includes four short double-helical elements and three loops (D, anti-codon, and T loops). Further hydrogen bonds mediate the characteristic L-shaped molecular structure. tRNAs have two regions of fundamental functional importance: the anti-codon, which is responsible for specific mRNA codon recognition, and the 3' end, to which the tRNAs corresponding amino acid is attached (by aminoacyl-tRNA synthetases). tRNAs cope with the degeneracy of the genetic code in two manners: having more than one tRNA (with a specific anti-codon) for a particular amino acid; and 'wobble' base-pairing, i.e. permitting non-standard base-pairing at the 3rd anti-codon position.
Source: RNAcentral
GGGCCCGUAGCUCAGCGGUAGAGCACCUGACUUUUAAUCAGGGUGUCGAUGGUUCGAUACCAUCCGGGCUCACCA